RNAcentral lists this ribosomal RNA (616 nucleotides) under uncultured Legionella sp. Its description in RNAcentral is "bacterial SSU rRNA". It matches the Rfam family "Bacterial small subunit ribosomal RNA", at positions 242 to 849 of the family's 1533-position model. The record is from RNAcentral. Lineage: Bacteria; Pseudomonadati; Pseudomonadota; Gammaproteobacteria; Legionellales; Legionellaceae.
UAGCUAGUUGGUAGGGUAAGGGCCUACCAAGGCGACGAUCGGUAGCUGGUCUGAGAGGAUGGCCAGCCACACUGGAACUGAGACACGGUCCAGACUCCUACGGGAGGCAGCAGUGGGGAAUAUUGGACAAUGGGGGGAACCCUGAUCCAGCAAUGCCGCGUGUGUGAAGAAGGCCUGAGGGUUGUAAAGCACUUUCAGUGGGGAGGAGGAUUGAUUGGUUAAGAGCUGAUUAAUUGGACGUUACCUACAGAAGAAGCACCGGCUAACUCCGUGCCAGCAGCCGCGGUAAUACGGAGGGUGCGAGCGUUAAUCGGAAUUACUGGGCGUAAAGGGUGCGUAGGUGGUUGAUUAAGUUAUCUGUAAAAUCCCUGGGCUUAACCUGGGCAGGUCAGAUGAUACUGAUUGACUCGAGUAUGGGAGAGGGUAGUGGAAUUUCCGGUGUAGCGGUGAAAUGCGUAGAGAUCGGAAGGAACACCAGUGGCGAAGGCGGCUACCUGGCCUAAUACUGACACUGAGGCACGAAAGCGUGGGGAGCAAACAGGAUUAGAUACCCUGGUAGUCCACGCUGUAAACGAUGUCAACUAGCUGUUGGUUAUAUGAAUAUAAUUAGUGGCCC